GGCUUCGCCGCCCGCGAGGAAAACACAACACAACACCGCAACAAGAGAGAGAGAGAGAGAGAAAGAGAGAAACACGUUGAAUUUUCUAAUCUCAUCCUUUUUGGACCCCAACAAAUAACAAUCUCUCCCUCUCUCUCUCUCUGUUUCUUUCUCUCUCUUUCUCCCACAACCAAACGAAACCCUAACGAAGACCCUUCUUCAUCCUCCCCUCGAUUUCAAUCCCAUGCUCUGAUCCCUUCUCUCUUCCCCCACCCCUUUACACAGGUUUCAUGUAACUUGAGUUUGGUUAGACAAGAAAUAAUUGAUGGAUGAUGAUAGUACAGAUGGAUAAAAUGUCUGCUCCUUCAUCAUGGGAGCGUGCACAACGCCUUUAUGAAAAGAACCUUGAAUUGGAGAGUAAACGUCGGAGGUCAGCUCAGGCGCGAGUACCAUCUGAUCCAAAUGCUUGGCAACAGAUGCGUGAGAAUUAUGAAGCAAUAAUUCUUGAGGAUCAUGCUUUUUCUGAGCAGCAUAAUAUUGAGUAUGCUCUUUGGCAGUUGCAUUAUAAGCGUAUUGAAGAGUUUAGGGCAUACUUCAGUGCUGCUCUUUCUUCUACAAGUGCAAACUCAUCUCAGGGAGGGAAAGGCCCUGCACGUCCUGAUCGGAUCACUAAAAUAAGGCUACAGUUUAAGACUUUCCUCUCAGAAGCAACUGGAUUUUACCAUGAUCUUAUUACGAAAAUCAGAGCAAAGUAUGGGCUUCCUCUUGGUUACUUUGAGGAUUCAGAGAAUCGGAUUGUAAUGGAAAAAGAUGGGAAGAAAUCUGCUGAGAUGAAGAAAGGUUUAGUAUCUUGUCAUCGUUGUCUGAUAUAUUUGGGUGAUCUUGCUCGUUAUAAAGGAAUGUAUGGUGAAGGUGACUCAAUAAACCGGGAGUUCAUAGCAGCUUCGAGUUACUACUUGCAAGCUGCAUCUCUUUGGCCUUCAAGUGGGAAUCCCCAUCAUCAGCUUGCUUUAUUGGCUUCAUAUUCUGGGGAUGAGCUGGUGGCUAUUUAUCGGUAUUUUCGUAGUCUGGCUGUGGAUAGUCCAUUUACAACUGCAAGAGAAAACUUGAUAGUUGCAUUUGAUAAGAAUCGUCAAAGCUUCUCUCAGCUUCCUGGUGAUGCUAAAGCUGUUGCAGUGAAGGAAUCUUCUGGGCGAUUAACCGGCAAAGGAAGAGGAAAAGUUGAAGCAAAGCUUGCAACAAGGGGAACUGGUGUUGAUGCCAGUCCUAAAACUGAAGGAGCAUCCAGUAUGCAAGAAACUUAUAAGUACUUCUGCACUCGUUUUGUCCGUCUGAAUGGAAUCUUAUUUACGCGUACAAGCCUUGAGACCUUCACUGAAGUUCUUGCUGUUGUUAGUACUGGCCUGCGUGAGCUUCUGUCUUCAGGGAAAGAUGAAGAUCUGAAUUUUGGGACAGAUGCUCCUGAAAAUGCACUUGCCAUUGUCAGAAUUGUCUGCAUUCUUGUAUUUACAGUUUAUAAUGUGAAUAAAGAAUCUGAAGGUCAAACAUAUGCAGAAAUUGUACAGCGCGCUGUUCUGCUUCAGAAUGCAUUUACUGCAGCUUUUGAAUUGAUGGGUUACAUAAUAGAGAGAUGUGCACAACUUUGUGAUCCUUCUUCUAGUUAUCUUUUACCAGGCAUUUUGGUUUUUGUCGAGUGGUUAGCUUGUUAUCCAGAUCUUGCAGCUGGCAAUGAUGUGGAUGAAAAUCAGGCAACGUUGAGAUCAAAGUUUUGGAAUCGUUGUAUAUCCUUCUUGAAUGAGCUGCUUUCAGUGGGGUCUCUGUCUAUUGAUGAUGAUGAAGAGGAGACUUGCUUUAAUAACAUGAGCAGGUAUGAAGAGGGGGAAACUGAAAACCGACUUGCUUUGUGGGAGGACUUUGAGUUAAGGGGAUUUGUUCCACUUCUUCCUGCACAAACCAUAUUGGAUUUUUCAAGGAAGCAUUCUGUUGGAAGUGAUGGGGAUAAGGAAAGAAAAGCUCGGGUCAAAAGGAUUUUAGCUGCAGGGAAGGCUUUAGCAAAUGUUGUUAAGGUUGAACAAAAACUAAUAUAUUUUGAUUCAAAGGCGAAGAAAUUUAUAAUUGGUGUUGAGCCUCAAACCCAUGAUGAUUUUGUUCUUGCCGCCUAUUCAGGCAUGCCAAAUGCAAAAGAGUUUGUGCAAGAGAAUCCAGCAGAGAAGUCAAAGAUGGAAAAUGUUCACUCAAACCAAAACCAGUAUAUUGAAGGAGAUGAUGAUGAUGAAGUUAUUGUUUUCAAGCCUGUAGUGUCUGAGACACGAGCUGAGGUUGUGGCCUCGUCAUGGGCACCCCAUGUGGGUUUGGAGCCUGUUAUGAAAGCAUCUGGAGGGGAUUUAAAAUUUCAUGUUAAUUCUACAUCUAACCCUCUAAAUAAUGUAAAUCAUCAAACUUUUACUGUUCCUGGUAAUGGUAUGGUUCCUCAACAUCUGCAACCAGUGCAGCCCCAUACAUCGAGGUGGUUAGAGGAGGAAAUUUCUCUUGCUAACAAUUUAAAAGGUCUUGGAUUAUUUGAGAAUGGGCAUGUCAUGAAACCUGGCUUACAAGAAGCUUUAGGCAUCCCUAGCCAGGUUUCACUUCCUAUUCCUAUCCAACAAUCUAUCAAUGCUGAUACUAAUGGUGUGCUUUAUGGUCUUUCAAAAGCUUUAGAAUCUGUGAUACCAUCCAAAAUCGAUGCCGUUGCAUCAUCUGGGGUAGUUUUUGAUAACUUAGCUGUAAAAACAUCAGCCUUGCCAGUUGGUUUGAGAAAAUCCCCUGUCAGUCGACCUACUAGGCACCUUGGACCUCCUCCUGGUUUCAGUCCUGUUCCUCCUAAACAAGGUAUUGAAUCCACUGUUUCAGAUUCAAUUAGUGGGAAUCCAAUUAUGGAUGAUUACAGUUGGUUGGACGGAUAUCAUUUGCGUCCAUCAAUGAAAGGUUUAGGCCCCAAUGUUCCUCUUAACUACUCUCAGUCAAAUUCUCAGCAAGUCAGUAACAAUGGCUUGAGUGGACCUGUCAGCUUUCCUUUUCCUGGAAAACAAGUUCCAUCUAUGCCUCUUCAGUUGGAGAAGCAGAAUGGUUGGCAAGACUAUCAAACUUCUGAGCUUUUAAAAUCACACCAUGAUCAGCAGCUGCAGCCACAGCAACUCACAACUGGAAAUCAGCAGUUUUCUUCUCUGCCUGAGCAAUUUCAAGGACAGUCAAUCUGGACAGGUCGUUACUUUGUGUGAUGUCAGUAUGAGAGUAUAGAUGGCUUAUUGCGAAUGUGCUGCAUCCUUUUGCUACUCAGUCAAACUCCAACUUUGCUGCCUUGUCAUUGAAUGUUGUUGGAGUUUUGUUGGCCUUGACUUGUUGCAGGCACUUGCUACUUCAAAAGAAUAUGCUGAGCUCUUCAGCCCGGACGAAGGAAGUUAAACAAGCAUCUUUACAGUUCAGAAGUUCGUAAGAAGUAAAUGCCUUGUCUGGUUGGUUGGGGUGGAUAGGUGGUGAUAAAUAAAAGACUAUUCAGUCGUCUUGGAGCUUAUAUCUUCUGGGAUUGGUGGUGUUGCAAUGGUUUGUUCACUUCUCUAGUGGAAAUGUCAUAAUGAUGCACCUGUAAAAAUCGUUGUUGCCAUCAUUUGGUUGCAAGUGGUACAUAGUGCCUAGCCCUUUUUUCUGCCGCAAUGCUUCAGACUAUUUAGUUGGGAAGGUUGGUAGAUAAGAAGUGGGUGUCAAAGUUGGAUAAUGGGAUAUGAUAUUUGACAAUUAUGGGGCUCACUUGUGUGAGUACAUGUGUUUAGUUGUUGCGUCUUCGUUAAGGUUCUUAUUCUGUGUUGUGUAUGACGAGUGGUCUGUGGUUCACUUACCUUUUUUUUUCUAUGUCAAGGGGUUGACUCGAACUUCAAAAUAAAUUGGUGGAUAGUUGAACACAUAUCCAUCUUGGCCUGUAUGAAUACAAUGAUGAAUUAUCUAUCUGUUGGAUUUAGCAUUUUUUAUUGCCUGUUUUGUUUAAUUUUUCAUGUUUGUCCAGUAGUGUCUGUAGGAUUAUUAUGAAUAGUUUUCAUAUUCUUUUAUGCUGCUGGGGGAUAUUGUUUAGAGGGUGGGUUAUGGUUCUACUUAAAGCAAUCCGUGUUAAUAUUUUUGAAUUACUGAUUCUUACAUAGGCCUUCAAAGGAGGAUGACAAUGAUAUUCAUUAAUUGAAUAUGUGACUCUAGUAGAAAGUCUGUUUCCAUGUUUUAUAAAUGAUAUUAUGAUUUAUAACAUUUAAUUUUAAUGC
This is an RNA transcript of Abrus precatorius (Indian licorice), 4262 nucleotides long. It is a transcript of the gene named protein SMG7, with no coding region annotated. NCBI's taxonomy places the organism in Eukaryota, Viridiplantae, Streptophyta, Magnoliopsida, Fabales, Fabaceae. The transcript is spliced from 8 exons. The record is from RefSeq and is a predicted model, not a curated record.